Bos taurus (domestic cattle) is the source of this 501-nucleotide long non-coding RNA. NCBI's taxonomy places the organism in Eukaryota, Metazoa, Chordata, Mammalia, Artiodactyla, Bovidae. The record is from Ensembl.
AGGUGAGUCCUGCGGCGGCUGCGCACAGCCCCCCGCCCCGCCCCAGGUUCCCGCACGCUCCGCAAAAAAACCUCGGCUCAGCGAGCUCGGACGCGGGGCCUGAGCGGGGCUCGCGGAGGUCACGCGCGCUCCAAAGAUGCGAGCAGAGCCGACGGGCCUCUUAGAGGCGAACCCGGCGCAGAAAGAUAUGCAUGAAUCAUACUCCGUUCCAUUUGGAGAACCAUCCAUACCCAUUUGGAGAAGGACACUGAGUGGUCACUGCUUGAGAUCAUGGUCUCUGGCUGAGGAGCAGCGUGGAAGAACUGACCUGAGAAUCAGGAUGCCAGGGUGCUGGGCCCUGACACUGCCGGGGACUGACUGUGUGGCCUGAGGCAAGUCAACAGCCCCUCCUCUGAGUUUCUUCAUCCGUAAAAUGGGGGUAUUUCACUAGAUAAGCUUAAGACCAACCCUAUUGAAGAUCCAUCAUUUUCAACUCUAGCAUAUCGUGAUCUUGAAUGCCCA